UUAAAGAUGGCUGAGUUUAAGCAGAAGAUUGUAGCUCUUUUUACGGGUAUUCCCUCUUUUAA
RNAcentral lists this transfer RNA (62 nucleotides) under Paranemertes cf. peregrina SCS-2010. RNAcentral describes it as "tRNA-Tyr". Lineage: Eukaryota; Metazoa; Nemertea; Enopla; Monostilifera; Emplectonematidae. The record is from RNAcentral.